GUGGGGAAUAUUGGACAAUGGGGGGAACCCUGAUCCAGCCAUGCCGCGUGUGUGAAGAAGGCCUUUUGGUUGUAAAGCACUUUAAGCGAGGAGGAGGCUACCGAGAUUAAUACUCUUGGAUAGUGGACGUUACUCGCAGAAUAAGCACCGGCUAACUCUGUGCCAGCAGCCGCGGUAAUACAGAGGGUGCAAGCGUUAAUCUGAUUUACUGGGCGUAAAGCGCGCGUAGGUGGCCAAUUAAGUCAAAUGUGAAAUCCCCGAGCUUAACUUGGGAAUUGCAUUCGAUACUGGUUGGCUAGAGUAUGGGAGAGGAUGGUAGAAUUCCAGGUGUAGCGGUGAAAUGCGUAGAGAUCUGGAGGAAUACCGAUGGCGAAGGCAGCCAUCUGGCCUAAUACUGACACUGAGGUGCGAAAGCAUGGGGAGCAAACAGGAUUAGAAACCCGUGUAGUCA
This 451-nucleotide ribosomal RNA is filed under the name uncultured bacterium. RNAcentral describes it as "partial 16S ribosomal RNA". It matches the Rfam family "Bacterial small subunit ribosomal RNA", at positions 354 to 796 of the family's 1533-position model. The record is from RNAcentral.